Molecule: non-coding RNA, 155 nt
Organism: Brassica napus (rape)
Lineage: Eukaryota; Viridiplantae; Streptophyta; Magnoliopsida; Brassicales; Brassicaceae
Source: Rfam
GACUCUCGGCAAUGGAUAUCUCGGCUCUCGCAUCGAUGAAGAACGUAGCAAAAUGUGAUACUUGCUGUGAAUUGCGAAUCCCGUGAACCAUCGAGUCUUUGAACGCAAGUUGCGCCCCAAGCCUUUUAGCCGAGGGCACGUCUGCCUGGGUGUCA